Molecule: long non-coding RNA, 931 nt
Organism: Oncorhynchus keta (chum salmon)
Lineage: Eukaryota; Metazoa; Chordata; Actinopteri; Salmoniformes; Salmonidae
Exons: 3
Source: RefSeq, a predicted model, not a curated record
UGGUAGUGAUGUCGGUGAAAACAGUGGCAGUGAUGUAGGUGAAAACAGUGGUAGUGAUGUAGGUGAAAACAGUGGUAGUGAUGUAGGUGAAAACAGUGGUAGUGAUGUAGGUGAAAACAGUGGUAGUGAUGUAGGUGAAAACAGUAGCAGUGAUGUAGGUGAAAACAGUGGCAGUGAUGUAGGUGAAAACAGUGGUAGUGAUGUAGGUGAAAACAGUGGCAGUGAUGUAGGUGAAAACAGUGGUAGUGAUGUAGGUGAAAACAGUGGCAGUGAUGUAGGUGAAAACAGUGGUAGUGAUGUAGGUGAAAACAGUGGCAGUGAUGUAGGUGAAAACAGUGGUAGUGAUGUAGGUGAAAACAGUGGCAGUGAUGUAGGUGAAAACAGUGGUAGUGAUGUAGGUGAAAACAGUGGCAGUGAUGUAGGUGAAAACAGUGGUAGUGAUGUAGGUGAAAACAGUGGUAGUGAUGUAGGUGAAAACAGUGGUAGUGAUGUAGGUGAAAACAGUAGUAGUGAUAGCCAUAGAGAAGGAGCAGCUUCCAACAAAGAAAGUAUUGAUAAAAAGGGUUCAACUGUUUCAGUAAUUUGGAAGUGGUUUGGCUUUUUGAAGUCCGACAAAGAGCAGAGCAAUGUUCGGUGCAAAUUGUGACGUAGACAGGUGGCUACCAAGUCUGGUAAUAAGACAAACCUUUUUCAACAUCUGUCGCAAAAUCACUCUUUGGAACAUGCAGGAAGUUUGAGUUUGCACCACGGUAUUGAUAAACGCCCCUCAAGCACCAGACAAUUUAGGGACGUUUGCCCGAAGCAGUCAACACUGACAGCGUUUAUGCCCUACAAGCAAACAUCGAAAAGACAAAGACAUCACAAAUGCUAUUAUGCAUUGCAUUGCUAAGGACAUGCUACCAAUUAGUACAGUCAAAAAGGAAGGUUUCAA